Molecule: ribosomal RNA, 497 nt
Filed under: uncultured bacterium
Lineage: Bacteria
Description: partial 16S ribosomal RNA
Rfam family: Bacterial small subunit ribosomal RNA
Source: RNAcentral
GAUGAACGCUGGCGGCGUGCCUAAUACAUGCAAGUCGAGCGAACAGACGAGGAGCUUGCUCCUCUGACGUUAGCGGCGGACGGGUGAGUAACACGUGGAUAACCUACCUAUAAGACUGGGAUAACUUCGGGAAACCGGAGCUAAUACCGGAUAAUAUAUUGAACCGCAUGGUUCAAUAGUGAAAGACGGUUUUGCUGUCACUUAUAGAUGGUUCCCGGCCGCAUUAGCUAGUUGGUAAGGUAACGGCUUACCAAGGCAACGAUGCGUAGCCGACGUGAGAGGGUGAUCGGCCGCACUGGAACGGAGACACGGUCCAGACUCCUACGGGAGGCAGCAGUAGGGAAUCGUCCGCAAUGGGCGAAAGCCUGACGGAGCAACGCCGCGUGAGUGAUGAAGGUCUUCGGAUCGUAAAACUCUGUUAUUAGGGAAGAACAAAUGUGUAAGUAACUAUGCACGUCUUGACGGUACCUAAUCAGAAAGCCACGGCUAACUACGUG